This 242-nucleotide ribosomal RNA is filed under the name uncultured bacterium. RNAcentral's name for it is "partial 16S ribosomal RNA". It matches the Rfam family "Bacterial small subunit ribosomal RNA", at positions 91 to 334 of the family's 1533-position model. The record is from RNAcentral.
CGGACCGGCGCACGGGUGAGUAACGCGUAUGUAAUCUACCUGUAACAGAGGGAUAACCCGGAGAAAUCCGGACUAAUACCUCAUAGCACAUAUUAUUCGCAUGAAUUUUAUGUUAAAGAGACUCGGUUACAGAUGAACAUGCGUUCCAUUAGCUGGUUGGCGGGGUUACGGCCCACCAAGGCAACGAUGGAUAGGGGUUCUGAGAGGAAGGUCCCCCACACUGGUACUGAGACACGGACCAG